RNAcentral lists this ribosomal RNA (464 nucleotides) under Vreelandella stevensii. Its description in RNAcentral is "partial 16S ribosomal RNA". It matches the Rfam family "Bacterial small subunit ribosomal RNA", at positions 338 to 795 of the family's 1533-position model. The record is from RNAcentral. Lineage: Bacteria; Pseudomonadati; Pseudomonadota; Gammaproteobacteria; Oceanospirillales; Halomonadaceae.
CCUACGGGGGCAGCAGUGGGGAAUAUUGGACAAUGGGCGAAAGCCUGAUCCAGCCAUGCCGCGUGUGUGAAGAAGGCCUUCGGGUUGUAAAGCACUUUCAGUGGGGAAGAAAGCCUUGGGGCUAAUACCCUCGAGGAAGGACAUCACCCACAGAAGAAGCACCGGCUAACUCCGUGCCAGCAGCCGCGGUAAUACGGAGGGUGCGAGCGUUAAUCGGAAUUACUGGGCGUAAAGCGUGCGUAGGCGGUCUGAUAAGCCGGUUGUGAAAGCCCCGGGCUCAACCUGGGAACGGCAUCCGGAACUGUCAGGCUAGAGUGCAGGAGAGGAAGGUAGAAUUCCCGGUGUAGCGGUGAAAUGCGUAGAGAUCGGGAGGAAUACCAGUGGCGAAGGCGGCCUUCUGGACUGACACUGACGCUGAGGUGCGAAAGCGUGGGUAGCAAACAGGAUUAGAUACCCCGGUAGUC